RNAcentral lists this ribosomal RNA (465 nucleotides) under Vreelandella stevensii. RNAcentral describes it as "partial 16S ribosomal RNA". It matches the Rfam family "Bacterial small subunit ribosomal RNA", at positions 338 to 795 of the family's 1533-position model. The record is from RNAcentral. Lineage: Bacteria; Pseudomonadati; Pseudomonadota; Gammaproteobacteria; Oceanospirillales; Halomonadaceae.
CCUACGGGUGGCAGCAGUGGGGAAUAUUGGACAAUGGGGGGAACCCUGAUCCAGCCAUGCCGCGUGUGUGAAGAAGGCCCUCGGGUUGUAAAGCACUUUCAGUGAGGAAGAACGCCUGGUGGUUAAUACCCAUCAGGAAAGACAUCACUCACAGAAGAAGCACCGGCUAACUCCGUGCCAGCAGCCGCGGUAAUAUGGAGGGUGCGAGCGUUAAUCGGAAUUACUGGGCGUAAAGCGCGCGUAGGUGGCUUGAUAAGCCGGUUGUGAAAGCCCCGGGCUCAACCUGGGAACGGCAUCCGGAACUGUCAAGCUAGAGUGCAGGAGAGGAAGGUAGAAUUCCCGGUGUAGCGGUGAAAUGCGUAGAGAUCGGGAGGAAUACCAGUGGCGAAGGCGGCCUUCUGGACUGACACUGACACUGAGGUGCGAAAGCGUGGGUAGCAAACAGGAUUAGAUACCCGAGUAGUC